ACCAACCGAAGCACGGCUCUGCUGGCGUUUUCCGACGAUCCUUAUCCUUCUCGCCGCCGGCUAAGGGUUUCAUUUCUCCUAGCGGCCACCACCGCCACGGCUUCCGCUUCCAAGAGACUGAGCCAGUGCAAUUGGAAACCAGAUGUCCCAGUUCCUAGGUUCGAAGAUAAAUAAGAGCUCUUGCCUUUUGAUCCUGUUUACGAGCACCUAAGUUCAAAAUCAGAGGUUUCCUGAUCUAAUUCUGCCCACGUUGUCAGUUGAAAGUACAUAAGGCCUCUUGCUUUUUCCUUUGGAUGCUAUUUAUAAACCCACCAGUCUCGAAUCAGCAAUUUC
Long non-coding RNA from Pyrus x bretschneideri (Chinese white pear), 333 nucleotides. RefSeq lists it as uncharacterized. The transcript has 3 exons. NCBI's taxonomy places the organism in Eukaryota, Viridiplantae, Streptophyta, Magnoliopsida, Rosales, Rosaceae. The record is from RefSeq and is a predicted model, not a curated record.